GACGAACGCUGGCGGCGUGCUUAACACAUGCAAGUCGAACGGAAAGGCCCUGCUUUUGUGGGGUGCUCGAGUGGCGAACGGGUGAGUAACACGUGAGUAACCUGCCCUUGACUUUGGGAUAACUCCAGGAAACUGGGGCUAAUACCGGAUAGGAGCUCCUGCUGCACGGUGGGGGUUGGAAAGUUUCGGCGGUUGGGGCUGGACUCGCGGCUUAUAAGCUUGUUGGGGGGGUAGUGGCUUACCAAGGGUUUGACGGGUAGCCGGCCUGAGAGGGUGACCGGCCACAUUGGGACUGCGAGACGGCCCAGACUCCUACGGGAGGCAGCAGUGGGGAAUAUUGCACAAUGGGCGGAAGCCUGAUGCAGCAACGCCGCGUGCGGGAUAACGGCCUUCGGGUUGUAAACCGCUUUCGCCUGUGACGAAGCGUGAGUGACGGUAAUGGGUAAAGAAGCACCGGCUAACUACGUG
This 468-nucleotide ribosomal RNA is filed under the name uncultured bacterium. RNAcentral's name for it is "partial 16S ribosomal RNA". It matches the Rfam family "Bacterial small subunit ribosomal RNA", at positions 28 to 507 of the family's 1533-position model. The record is from RNAcentral.